GCCGCGCCGCGGUCGGGCGUAGGGAUUCAGGGACGCAGUGCGCGGAGCGCUCUUCGCUGAUGCGGCUGCGGGGAAACAGAGGAACCGAGGGACUACUUUUUCUAGACUCAUCACUUUCCCCAGGCUCCGGUUUCUCCCUUCUCCCCUCCCCCCUCCCACUUUUUUUUUUUUUUAACAUUUUGCCACAUCAUGCGACUCGGGGCGAACUACGUCAUUUCCGUAGGCGCUGUAAGACCCACCCACGCACUUCCCGGUGCACGUGAUGCGGGCUUGCCAUUCAAGAUGUGACCUCAUGGCUCCCUGCUGCCGCCAUGCCUGCCACUUUUAUGCCUCUGAAACUGCUCCCCUCAACUAAGAGAGAUCCAUCCACCUGCUUCUGCCUCAAGGAUGCUGAGAUUAAAGGUAUGCAACAGCCCAGCCCUUCUGUCUUGACUGUAGUAAUAAUUAAACAGGUAUGUAUAGAUAUCAAAACUCAGAGAACUGUACACUUUUUUUUUAAAAGAUUUUAUUUAUGUGAGUACACUGUAGCUGUUUCCAGACACACCAGAAGAGGGCAUCAGAUCCCUUUACAGAUGGCUGUGAGCCACCACAUAGUUGCUGGGAAUUGAACUCAGGAUUUGGAAGAGCAGUCAGUGCUCUUAACCACUGAGCCAUCUCUCCAGCCCCCACUUUUUUUUUUCUUCAUGUUUUAAAGUCUUUUUUACACUGAUGUGGUGAGUGGGCAAAUGGACAUGCUCAUGCCAAAGCCAAUGUGUGGAGGUCAGAGGAAAACUUUUGGGAGUUGGCUCUUUCCUUCCAACCUGUGAGAUCCCGAGGUCAGACUUGGGUCAUUAGAUUUGGUGGCUUGCACCCUUACCUGCUGAAUCAUCUCACCAGCCUAUGUGAAGUUCAGUGUGUAUCAAUUAUUCUUCAGCACGACUAUCUAAAAAUAUUUUCAUUAUUUCAGAUACAUUUCUUUACCACUAUGAGGAUUCACUGGGUCAGAGAGACGGCUGGCUAUACAGAGUAGCAUGCAGAGGGAAAGUAACCGACUAGAAUGGGUGGUACAAAUAUAAAUUACUGCACUGAAAAUUCAGUAUGAUCUACAGAGACCUACAACGCUAGUUGAGAAAACAGACAACAGAAGCCACAGCAGUCACCUGCUUU
Molecule: long non-coding RNA, 1146 nt
Organism: Mus musculus (house mouse)
Lineage: Eukaryota; Metazoa; Chordata; Mammalia; Rodentia; Muridae
Product: predicted gene, 42085
Exons: 3
Source: RefSeq, a predicted model, not a curated record